This 331-nucleotide unclassified non-coding RNA is filed under the name soil metagenome. RNAcentral describes it as "partial contains 5.8S ribosomal RNA, internal transcribed spacer 2, and large subunit ribosomal RNA". The stretch from base 1 to 120 matches the Rfam family "5.8S ribosomal RNA", at positions 35 to 154 of the family's 154-position model. The record is from RNAcentral.
GAUGAAGAACGUAGCGAAAUGCGAUAAGUAGUGUGAAUUGCAGAAUUCAGUGAAUCAUCGAAUCUUUGAACGCACAUUGCGCCCCCUGGUAUUCCGGGGGGCAUGCCUGUUCGAGCGUCAUUUCACCACUCAAGCCUCGCUUGGUAUUGGGCAACGCGGUCCGCCGCGUGCCUCAAAUCGUCCGGCUGGGUCUUCUGUCCCCUAAGCGUUGUGGAAACUAUUCGCUAAAGGGUGUUCGGGAGGCUACGCCGUAAAACAACCCCAUUUCUAAGGUUGACCUCGGAUCAGGUAGGGAUACCCGCUGAACUUAAGCAUAUCAAUAAGCGGAGGA